Molecule: non-coding RNA, 134 nt
Organism: Triticum aestivum (bread wheat)
Lineage: Eukaryota; Viridiplantae; Streptophyta; Magnoliopsida; Poales; Poaceae
Source: Rfam
AUAAUACUCCCUCCGCCCAAAAUUCUGGUCUAGGAUCUGUCUAAAUACGGAUGUAUCAAGUCACGUUUUAGUAUUAGAUACAUCCGUAUGUAGGCAAAUCCAAGACAAGAAUUUUGGGACGGAGGGAGUAUAAA